RNAcentral lists this ribosomal RNA (433 nucleotides) under uncultured bacterium. RNAcentral describes it as "partial 16S ribosomal RNA". It matches the Rfam family "Bacterial small subunit ribosomal RNA", at positions 29 to 507 of the family's 1533-position model. The record is from RNAcentral.
AACGAACGCUGGCGGCAUGCCUAACACAUGCAAGUCGAACGAGACCUUCGGGUCUGGUGGCGCACGGGUGCGUAACGCGUGGGAACCUGCCCUUAGGUUCGGAAUAACUCCCCGAAAGGGGUGCUAAUACCGGAUAAUGUCUUCGGACCAAAGAUUUAUCGCCUUUGGAUGGGCCCGCGUUGGAUUAGCUAGUUGGUAGGGUAAAAGCCUACCAAGGCGACGAUCCAUAGCUGGUCUGAGAGGAUGAUCAGCCACACUGGGACUGAGACACGGCCCAGACUCCUACGGGAGGCAGCAGUGGGGAAUAUUGGACAAUGGGCGAAAGCCUGAUCCAGCAAUGCCGCGUGAGUGAUGAAGGCCUUAGGGUUGUAAAGCUCUUUUACCCGGGAUGAUAAUGACAGUACCGGGAGAAUAAGCGCCGGCUAACUCCGUG